CGGACGGGUGAGUAACACGUGGAUAACCUACCUAUAAGACUGGGAUAACUUCGGGAAACCGGAGCUAAUACCGGAUAAUAUAUUGAACCGCAUGGUUCAAUAGUGAAAGACGGUUUUGCUAUCACUUAUAGAUGGAUCCGCGCCGCAUUAGCUAGUUGGUAAGGUAACGGCUUACCAAGGCAACGAUGCGUAGCCGACCUGAGAGGGUGAUCGGCCACACUGGAACUGAGACACGGUCCAGACUCCUACGGGAGGCAGCAGCU
This 263-nucleotide ribosomal RNA is filed under the name uncultured Staphylococcus sp. RNAcentral describes it as "partial 16S ribosomal RNA". It matches the Rfam family "Bacterial small subunit ribosomal RNA", at positions 99 to 355 of the family's 1533-position model. Lineage: Bacteria; Bacillati; Bacillota; Bacilli; Caryophanales; Staphylococcaceae. The record is from RNAcentral.